GUGCUCACUUCAGCAGCACAUAUAUUAAAAUUGGAACAAUACAGAGAUCAGCAGGGCCACUGCACAACCAUGACACAAAUUUGUAAAGUGUUCCAUGUUUCC
Neogale vison (American mink) is the source of this 102-nucleotide small nuclear RNA. Lineage: Eukaryota; Metazoa; Chordata; Mammalia; Carnivora; Mustelidae. The record is from Ensembl.